Lolium perenne is the source of this 691-nucleotide long non-coding RNA. RefSeq lists it as uncharacterized. Lineage: Eukaryota; Viridiplantae; Streptophyta; Magnoliopsida; Poales; Poaceae. The record is from RefSeq and is a predicted model, not a curated record.
CACACAUUCGCAUUCCCCAAGUCAGACCACGAUCACACAUUCGCAUUCCCGUGUCUGUUUAAUAAACACACCCCUGCCUCCAAACUGUAAACGCGAUCAAGUCCAGCACAUCCGCUCCUUCCUCAAUCCUUCCUUCUCAAGGAGAGCGCUUUCCGGCCACCACCACAUCCGUCCUUCUCUGCUUCUCCGAGCAGCCGGGCGUCGCCACCCCCCUUCCAGCUACUCCAUCCAAGCCGCAGUUCCGUCCCCGACCUGGACCUCAUCCCCCCGCGCUCCCUCGUGCUCCGCUCUGAUUUUGUUUCUAUAAUUUUCCAUCUCUCGCCGUCCUUUGCUUCCGCGAUCGCUCAUUGCCUUAAUUUCCUUCUUAAUCCAAUCUUGGGCUAAUGCAGUAUUUGGACGGGGCCAUUUGGAUUAGACGGGAUGAACAUGCCUUGCGGCCCAUUGAUUGAUGCAUCUACGGGCCUCUCGAGGAAGAACGGCCAGCGCGGCUCAGGAGGGAGGAAUAGCUCAGCGAUAGAAAAAGAAUCAGCGAACCGGUACAUGACAAUUGAUGUAUUAUAUUAUGCUCAAGAGUGCCCGUGCGUUGCACCGGGAGAAACAAAUACUCACCUCUCCUCUUGGUGAUCAUCGUUGAUGUUUGUCAUGUUUCUCCUAUUAAUGUCGAAUAUAUAUAAUCACUUAUAAGAGUUCA